Molecule: ribosomal RNA, 276 nt
Filed under: uncultured Cellulosimicrobium sp.
Lineage: Bacteria; Bacillati; Actinomycetota; Actinomycetes; Micrococcales; Promicromonosporaceae
Description: partial 16S ribosomal RNA
Rfam family: Bacterial small subunit ribosomal RNA
Source: RNAcentral
CUUGCUGGGCGGAUUAGUGGCGAACGGGUGAGUAACACGUGAGUAACCUGCCCUUGACUUCGGGAUAACUCCGGGAAACCGGGGCUAAUACCGGAUAUGAGCCGUCCUCGCAUGGGGGUGGUUGGAAAGUUUUUCGGUCAGGGAUGGGCUCGCGGCCUAUCAGCUUGUUGGUGGGGUGAUGGCCUACCAAGGCGACGACGGGUAGCCGGCCUGAGAGGGCGACCGGCCACACUGGGACUGAGACACGGCCCAGACUCCUACGGGAGGCAGCAGUAC